GAGUAAAUGAUGACACCUAAACUUGUCUUGAAGAGAGAUAUAAAAACCAUGCUCAAUAGGAUUACCCUGAGGCCC
Loxodonta africana (African savanna elephant) is the source of this 75-nucleotide small nucleolar RNA. Its record names the gene SNORD115. It matches the Rfam family "Small nucleolar RNA SNORD115". From Rfam's summary of the family: HBII-52 is a member of the C/D class of snoRNAs, which contain the C (UGAUGA) and D (CUGA) box motifs. HBII-52 is encoded in a tandemly repeated array with another C/D snoRNA, HBII-85, in the Prader-Willi syndrome (PWS) region of chromosome 15. The record is from Ensembl. NCBI's taxonomy places the organism in Eukaryota, Metazoa, Chordata, Mammalia, Proboscidea, Elephantidae.